Molecule: ribosomal RNA, 292 nt
Filed under: uncultured bacterium
Lineage: Bacteria
Description: partial 16S ribosomal RNA
Source: RNAcentral
GGACUACUCGGGUAUCUAAUCCCGUUCGCUCCCCACGCUUUCGCGCCUCAGCGUCAGGGUUAGGCCAGAGAGUCGCCUUCGCCACUGGUGUUCCUCCCAAUAUCUACGCAUUUCACCGCUACACUGGGAAUUCCACUCCCCUCUCCUGCCCUCAAGUCACCCAGUUUCAGAGGCCGGCUCUGAGUUGAGCCCAGAGUUUUCACCUCUGACUUGGAUAACCGCCUACGCGCCCUUUACGCCCAGUAAUUCCGGACAACGCUCGCCCCCUACGUCUUACCGCGGCGGCUGGCAC